This 431-nucleotide ribosomal RNA is filed under the name uncultured bacterium. Its description in RNAcentral is "bacterial SSU rRNA". It matches the Rfam family "Bacterial small subunit ribosomal RNA", at positions 9 to 488 of the family's 1533-position model. The record is from RNAcentral.
GAGUUUGAUUAUGGCUCAGGAUGAAUGCUGGCGGCGUGGAUGAGGCAUGCAAGUCGAAUGGGUUUAGGCCCAUGGCAGACGAGGUAGGAACACGUAGGUACGUACCCCAAAGUCAGGGAUAAUCCGUCGAAAGGCGGGAUAAUACUUGAUGGUCUCUUCGGAGUAAAGAUUUAUCGCUUUGGGAACGGCCUGCGGGCUAUCAGCUUGUUGGUAAGGUAACGGCUUACCGAGGCUACGACGGCUAGGGGAGGUGAGAGCCUGACCCCCACCGAUGGAACUGCGACACGGUCCAUACUCCUACGGGAGGCUACAGUCGAGAAUCUUCCGCAAUGGACGAAAGUCUGACGGAGCGACGCCGCGUGGUGGAUGAAGUCCCUCGGGACGUAAACACCUUUUAUGAGGGAGGAAAUUUUGACGUUACCUCAUGAAUA